UUUUUUUAAACCCAGUUAUUUAACAAGUUGAACUAAAUGUAUCUUUAUUUAGAAUUCCAUUUUGCAGUCACCAAUUAAUACACUAAGUGUUCCAAUGUCAUUAAAAUAAAGGUUAGAGGGAAUAGUUUUUGCACCUGUAUAGCUUGCAAAAUGUUACACACCGUUACAAAGUGGAAUUGUCAGUCCACAAUUUUUCACAGCACUUUUGGAAACAGACUGGUUAUUUUGGUAACAUUUGAUGCCACUCCAGACAUUUUCACCAUGAGCACUUGAAGGUACGAGAAGGUGGGGAAAUCUCCCCCAAUUACAACAGGUUACCAGCAAACAGAUUUAUCCAUCACUGAACUGUUUAGUGCUGCCUAACAGAGGAUAUAACCCUGAUGGGGGCAAGAAAUUCCAAGAAGUGGUAGCAUGGUAGAUUCUUACAUUUUUAGAGCUUAGAACUCCUUAGAUCGCCUCUUAAUUAUAGCAGAAUGGAAACAAGUCAAUGUAAUCUCGGAAUAUAUGUAUGAUUUUAUGGUCAGAUUUGUAUUCUAUUGCUACACUUAAAGGACUGUUUAAGGAUCUAUAAAUGCAACACAAAACAAGACUGUUUCCAACACUGGUAUUUGGCAUAUACCCGGCAAUCCCUCUCAAGAAAGUUACUAGUUAAACCCCUUUGCCAACAUCACAAGUUGGAAGAGCCAAGCUAAACACCUAUAAAUGUUUGUUACAUUGUAUUACGCUGCAUAUAAAGAUGUUGCAAAGCAUUUUGUUUUGGGCAGAGAAACACAAGCAUUAGCGAUAAACUUACUAUAAAUGAAAAUAAACACUGAUUAACGUGCAAAAAUACCUUUCUGCAAUUAACUAUGUCCCUGUAACAUCUAAACACUGUAUAGUCUUCAAAAAUUGCACAUUUUGUUUAUUGCUUUGAUUUACAUCACUUUUACACAAACCUGUCAUUAGUAAAGAUAUGGCUUUAUAACUUGUAUGUACAGUAUUUAUGUUCUUGUAUGACAUCCUAUGAUUUUUACCUCUGUAGUUUGUACUCUUAAGAUACUUUAAAUAAUUGAGGGUACUUUCCAAGUUGCCUGCAUCUCAUACAUGCUUGCAGUACAGUUUCUAGACAUGUUACAUAUUCUAAUUCUUCAAUAAGGAACGGUCCAUCAGGGAGUGUGUAAACAAACCCCAAACAUAAUUGAACCCAAAAAAAAAUAUAUAAAAGAAAAUAUAAGCAGCCUAGUCUAUUGGUUACAUCAAUCAAGUGGUAAGGUUGAGUUAGCCAUUUUAUCAAAUUGACAUGUAAACUGCACAAGCAUAGCAAUAUGGAAGGAAUAGCAGAGGUCAAUAUGGCAGAUUCCCGAGAAACACUGGGUGAUCACACCAUCCACACUAGUGCUAUGGUUUAUGGAGAGAACCAUUUAAUGGGAUUCAGAGGCAGAGGAGGUACGUUUUACUAGGUGAUGGAAUGUGGAACGGUCAUAAUCAGAGAAGUGACAGUGCAGUUUUAUUAAUUAUGUGUUCCCACUAAUGGAAAUGAGAGAAAUAUAUUAGUAUUUUCUUUUUAGUGGUAUGAAAGAACCAUUUAAAUAAUAAACCUCAAGGUAUUCGCCACAAAUCACAUGAUCCUUUACCAGGCAAAGUUACUGCAAAGCCAAAAUCAGUUCUAAACCAUUUCCACUGUAACAGGCCUAAUUUUAACACUUAUCUAAGGAUACGGUAUGAUAUGUCAAAGUUUAAAGGCAUGACCUUAAUAUAACAGCUGUAUUUUCUAUUCAGAAAACAGAUUGCAUUUCUAAUCAGUGGCAUGAAUGUUAAAACACUGAGGGCACCCAGACCACUUGAGAAUAUUGCCGUUUAUGAGAGUUAACACACCUCAAUUGGCAGUCUUCCUGACCACUACAAAAGGUGCUUCCACUUCUACAACAGAGUUCAACUCUGUUAUAGAUCAAAUUCAAAGAUCAAAUAAUUGGCAGCUUUUGAUUGGCACAGCACAGAGUUUUGAUGUUCAUGCACACUAGCCUCCAAAUGGCUUUCUAUAGGGAAGCACUGGAUUGGCUGAGAUCAUUGAUCUUCAUGAUCUCAGCCAGAGAAUUGGGGCAG
This 2082-nucleotide long non-coding RNA is filed under the name Pelobates cultripes (western spadefoot toad). The record is from RNAcentral. Lineage: Eukaryota; Metazoa; Chordata; Amphibia; Anura; Pelobatidae.